GGACGGGUGAGUAACGCGUGGGUAACCUGCCUUAUACUGGGGGAUAACAGCCAGAAAUGACUGCUAAUACCGCAUAAGCGCACAGGACCGCAUGGUCCGUGUGAAAAACUCCGGUGGUAUAAGAUGGACCCGCGUUGGAUUAGUUAGUUGGCAGGGCAGCGGCCUACCAAGGCGACGAUCCAUAGCCGGCCUGAGAGGGUGAACGGCCACAUUGGGACUGAGACACGGCCCAGACUCCUACGGGAGGCAGCAUG
Molecule: ribosomal RNA, 254 nt
Filed under: uncultured bacterium
Lineage: Bacteria
Description: partial 16S ribosomal RNA
Rfam family: Bacterial small subunit ribosomal RNA
Source: RNAcentral